RNAcentral lists this ribosomal RNA (106 nucleotides) under uncultured bacterium. RNAcentral's name for it is "partial 16S ribosomal RNA". It matches the Rfam family "Bacterial small subunit ribosomal RNA", at positions 1378 to 1482 of the family's 1533-position model. The record is from RNAcentral.
CCGUUGUACACACCGCCCGUCACACCAUGGAGGUUCGGUUGCACCAGAAGUAGGUAGCUUAACCUUCGGGAGGGCGCUUACCACGGUGUGGCUAAUGACUGGGGUG